RNAcentral lists this ribosomal RNA (506 nucleotides) under uncultured bacterium. RNAcentral describes it as "partial 16S ribosomal RNA". It matches the Rfam family "Bacterial small subunit ribosomal RNA", at positions 29 to 506 of the family's 1533-position model. The record is from RNAcentral.
ACGAACGCUGGCGGCGUGCCUAAUCCAUGCAAGUCGCACGCUUCUUUCCUCCCGAGUGCUUGCACUCAAUUGGAAAGAGGAGUGGCGGACGGGUGAGUAACACGUGGGUAACCUACCCAUCAGAGGGGGAUAACACUUGGAAACAGGUGCUAAUACCGCAUAACAGUUUAUGCCGCAUGGCAUAAGAGUGAAAGGCGCUUUCGGGUGUCGCUGAUGGAUGGACCCGCGGUGCAUUAGCUAGUUGGUGAGGUAACGGCUCACCAAGGCCACGAUGCAUAGCCGACCUGAGAGGGUGAUCGGCCACACUGGGACUGAGACACGGCCCAGACGCCUACGGGAGGCAGCAGUAGGGAAUCUUCGGCAAUGGACGAAAGUCUGACCGAGCAACGCCGCGUGAGUGAAGAAGGUUUUCGGAUCGUAAAACUCUGUUGUUAGAGAAGAACAAGGACGUUAGUAACUGAACGUCCCCUGACGGUAUCUAACCAGAAAGCCACGGCUAACUACGU